Molecule: ribosomal RNA, 494 nt
Filed under: uncultured bacterium
Lineage: Bacteria
Description: partial 16S ribosomal RNA
Rfam family: Bacterial small subunit ribosomal RNA
Source: RNAcentral
GACGAACGCUGGCGGCGUGCCUAAUACAUGCAAGUAGAACGCUGAAGGAGGAGCUUGCUUCUCUGGAUGAGUUGCGAACGGGUGAGUAACGCGUAGGUAACCUGCCUGGUAGCGGGGGAUAACUAUUGGAAACGGUAGCUAAUACCGCAUAAGAGUAGAUGUUGCAUGACAUUUGCUUAAAAGGUGCAAUUGCAUCACUACCAGAUGGACCUGCGUUGUAUUAGCUAGUUGGUGGGGUAACGGCUCACCAAGGCGACGAUACAUAGCCGACCUGAGAGGGUGAUCGGCCACACUGGGACUGAGACACGGCCCAGACUCCUACGGGAGGCAGCAGUAGGGAAUCUUCGGCAAUGGACGGAAGUCUGACCGAGCAACGCCGCGUGAGUGAAGAAGGUUUUCGGAUCGUAAAGCUCUGUUGUAAGAGAAGAACGAGUGUGAGAGUGGAAAGUUCACACUGGGACGGUAUCUUACCAGAAAGGGACGGCUAACUACGU